CGCGUAGGCGGGUGGCCAAGUCAGGGGUGAAAUCUUUCAGCUCAACUGGAAAACAGCUUCUGAUACUGGCCGUCUUGAGGGAGGUAGGGGCAUGUGGAACUUCCGGUGGAGCGGUGAAAUGCGUAGAUAUCGGAAGGAACGCCGGUGGCGAAAGCGACGUGCUGGACCUUUUCUGACGCUGAGGCGCGAAAGCCAGGGGAGCAAACGGGAUUAGAUACCCCGGUAGUCCUGGCCCUAAACGAUGGGUACUAGAUUGUAGACUAAACAUGGGUUUACAGUCGAAGCUAAAGUGUUAAGUACCCCGCCUGGGGAGUAUGGUCGCAAGGCUGAA
RNAcentral lists this ribosomal RNA (331 nucleotides) under uncultured bacterium. Its description in RNAcentral is "bacterial SSU rRNA". It matches the Rfam family "Bacterial small subunit ribosomal RNA", at positions 568 to 898 of the family's 1533-position model. The record is from RNAcentral.